This is a long non-coding RNA of Raphanus sativus (radish), 1452 nucleotides long. RefSeq lists it as uncharacterized. The record is from RefSeq and is a predicted model, not a curated record. Lineage: Eukaryota; Viridiplantae; Streptophyta; Magnoliopsida; Brassicales; Brassicaceae. The transcript is spliced from 3 exons.
UAGCGUCUGUUCCUAAACUCAGCACCUCGUUGAUUAUCUAGUCAUUUCUUCUGUAAGGAUCUGUUAGUGGGGCAAAGUCGAUUGAUAUCAAGCGAGAGAGAGAGACAUCGAAGCAGUGAUGCCAGGACGUGUGCCCAAGCUCCCAAAGAUCCAACCGGUGGACAUCCAGGCCGCCGUAGGAUGGGGUGUCGCCGCCGUAGCCGGCGCCAUCUGGGUCGUCCAACCAUUUGAUUGGAUAAAGAAGACGUUCAUCGAUAAACCUGCACCGGAAGAGAACUGAUGGAUCAAACAAGAUGUAUACUUUCUUUGUGAUGUGACUGAAUAAGUUUUGGGUUUUUAUUUCUGGGGCUUUUUGGUUUUCAUUUAAUGUCUUCAGUGUAGACUUUUUGUCAGUCUCAAAUGUGUAAUAACACAAGAAAAAAUCACUCCCAAGUGAUCAGAAAAGAGGACUCAUUUGGUUUUUAUGGCAAUGUUGUUAUAUAUGAUCCAUAUGAAAGUAAAACAGAUCAGGGAUCAUAAGAAGGAGAGCUAUGAUGAUGACUGAGAUUUGUUGAGCUUGCCAUGUGGCGGUCACUAUCAUGAUAAUAUUCCUGACCAUGAUCAAACUACAAAACCCUAAUUUCGACUUUUUUUUUUGUCAACGUCCCUAAUUUCGACUUAUGUGGCCGUAGUUUAGUUGUUAGAAGUUUUGUAAGAAUUUGAGUUAAAAGCUUGUGUCUUUCUUUGAGCAACUCCGUCUCCUCCAAAAGUCUCCUGAAUGGCCAGAGAUGCUAAGCCAGUUCUAGCUAAUGAACGCUCUCAUAUACCCAUCUCACAGCAAGACCUUGACAGUGGAAUAGAUUCGAGUGAUGAUGACAUGCCCUCAUUGGAAGCAAACACAAAUAGAUUGAGACCUUUUGGGGUACAAUGUGAUGCAGAAACAACAGAUUCUGAAUCUUAGAAACAUCUGGUGCAUUUUUUUCACAAGCCUCACUUUAUAACAGUAUCAGUAUGUAAAACCACUUGCACAGCUGCUUUUGAUUUGCAAUAAAUUGAUUAUAGAUCUACAGCUCACUAGAUCGUUCAGAGAGUAGCCCUUGCUUGUCAUUCUACAUUCAAUGUAGAUCACACAGAUCAGUGUAGCAUAUACAUCAAAAACGUGAUGCAAGAAGUGAGCAGGAAAAAAAAAACAUAAACUGGGUUUUCAGAAGAUUCAAGGUGUUGUUGUUCUUUUAUUAUAUCUAUAGAUGUCAAUUGGGCGGGCCGGGCGGUUUGGGCGUGUCCGAAUGGGCUUUAUUUUUUUACUGGACAUAUUUGGUCGAAGCCCAAAUAGAACCAUGUCCAAAUGAGACCAAAACCAAAUAAGACCAUGAUUUAUUACAUUUGUUGGGCUGUCCAUGGGCCUAUAUGACCACUUAAUGUAAACAACACAAUUUUUCAGUUUUAAUAAGUAAAAUUCAUACAAGUUCUAAA